GCCUCUGUAGCUCAGUGGCAGAGCACUGGUCAUGUAAACCAGAGGGGUUGUGAGUUCAAUCCUCACAGGAGACA
Molecule: non-coding RNA, 74 nt
Organism: Acanthoscelides obtectus
Lineage: Eukaryota; Metazoa; Arthropoda; Insecta; Coleoptera; Chrysomelidae
Source: the annotation of a GenBank genome assembly